This 258-nucleotide unclassified non-coding RNA is filed under the name Hevea brasiliensis (rubber tree). Lineage: Eukaryota; Viridiplantae; Streptophyta; Magnoliopsida; Malpighiales; Euphorbiaceae. The record is from RNAcentral.
CUAUUACUCUUACCUCCAGUCUGCUCAUUUACACAAAAGGGUUGUCAAACAUUGUAAAUCAAGGCCAUACUUAAUAGGCAGCUAUUACCAAGUUCCUAGGUUAAAAUUCGUCUGCAACUGCAGCAUUACAUAAAAUGAAAGAAAAAUUCUAGAAAUUGCCAAGAAGCAUAUAACCAAACAUCCAAUAAAGAAGCAUCGCCUUUUCAACUGAAAAAGGGUUACAAUGCAAGUGCAUGAAAAACAAAAAAAUAAAUAUAC